Molecule: ribosomal RNA, 500 nt
Filed under: uncultured bacterium
Lineage: Bacteria
Description: partial 16S ribosomal RNA
Rfam family: Bacterial small subunit ribosomal RNA
Source: RNAcentral
GACGAACGCUGGCGGCGUGCUUAACACAUGCCAGUCGAACGGGUCUGCCCUGUUUUUUGCGGGGUGGGUCAGUGGCGAACGGGUGAGUAACACGUGAGUAACCUGCCCCUCACUUCUGGAUAACCGCUUGAAAGGGUGGCUAAUACGGGGUGUUCUGGCUGUGCCGCAUGGUGUGGCUGGGAAAGAUUCACUUUUGUGGUGUUUGGGUGGGGGAUGGGCUCGCGGCCUAUCAGCUUGUUGGUGGGGUGAUGGCCUGCCAAGGCUUUGACGGGUAGCCGGCCUGAGAGGGUGGGCGGUCACACUGGGACUGGGAUACGGCCCAGACUCCUGCGGGAGGCAGCAGUGGGGGGUAUUGCACAAUGGGCGGAAGCCUGAUGCAGCGACGUCGCGUGAGGGAUGGAGGCCUUCGGGUUGUGAACCUCUUUCGCCGGUGAAGAAGGUCCUGCUCUUUGUGGUGGGGUUGACGGUAGCCGGGUUAUGAAGCGCCGGCUAACUACGUG